GAUCAAAGUGUAGUAUCUGUUCUUAUCAGCUUAAUAUCUGAUACGGUCCCCAUUGGGGGCCCAGAAUAUUAAACUGAUUUUUGGAAUCAGGCGGGGUGUUUAGGGGCUUGCUCCACCCCCGCCACUGGUUGGC
RNAcentral lists this small nuclear RNA (133 nucleotides) under Craterostigmus tasmanianus. RNAcentral describes it as "partial U2 snRNA". It matches the Rfam family "U2 spliceosomal RNA", at positions 25 to 155 of the family's 192-position model. From Rfam's summary of the family: U2 is a small nuclear RNA (snRNA) component of the spliceosome (involved in pre-mRNA splicing). The record is from RNAcentral. Lineage: Eukaryota; Metazoa; Arthropoda; Chilopoda; Craterostigmomorpha; Craterostigmidae.